AGUGAACGCUGGCGGUAGACCUAACACAUGCAAGUCGAACGGCAGCACAGUAAGAGCUUGCUCUUACGGGUGGCGAGUGGCGGACGGGUGAGGAAUACAUCGGAAUCUACUUUUUCGUGGGGGAUAACGUAGGGAAACUUACGCUAAUACCGCAUACGACCUACGGGUGAAAGCAGGGGAUCUUCGGACCUUGCGCGAUUGAAUGAGCCGAUGUCGGAUUAGCUAGUUGGCGGGGUAAAGGCCCACCAAGGCGACGAUCCGUAGCUGGUCUGAGAGGAUGAUCCGCCACACUGGAACUGAGACACGGUCCAGACUCCUACGGGAGGCAGCAGUGGGGAAUAUUGGGCAAUGGGCGCAAGCCUGAUCCAGCCAUACCGCGUGGGUGAAGAAGGCCUUCGGGUUGUAAAACCCUUUUGUUGGGAAAGAAAAGCAGCAGGUUAAUACCCCGCUGUUCUGACGGUACCCAAAGAAUAAGCACCGGCUAACUUCGUG
RNAcentral lists this ribosomal RNA (492 nucleotides) under uncultured bacterium. Its description in RNAcentral is "partial 16S ribosomal RNA". It matches the Rfam family "Bacterial small subunit ribosomal RNA", at positions 29 to 507 of the family's 1533-position model. The record is from RNAcentral.